AAUCAACGCUGGCGGCGUGCCUAACACAUGCAAGUCGAACGAGAAAGUGGAGCAAUCCAUGAGUAAAGUGGCGCACGGGUGAGUAACACGUGACUAACCUACCCUUGAGUGGGGGAUAACCUCGGGAAACCGGGGCGUAAUACCGCAUAAUAUCGAGAGAUCAAAGGAGCAAUUCGCUUAAGGAGGGGGUCGCGGCUGAUUAGCUAGUUGGUGAGGUAAUGGCUCACCAAGGCUAGAUCAGUAUCCGGCCUGAGAGGGCGCACGGACACACUGGAACU
Molecule: ribosomal RNA, 278 nt
Filed under: uncultured bacterium
Lineage: Bacteria
Description: partial 16S ribosomal RNA
Rfam family: Bacterial small subunit ribosomal RNA
Source: RNAcentral